RNAcentral lists this transfer RNA (73 nucleotides) under Bacteroidaceae bacterium. RNAcentral describes it as "tRNA-Phe". It matches the Rfam family "tRNA". From Rfam's summary of the family: Transfer RNA (tRNA) molecules are approximately 80 nucleotides in length. Their secondary structure includes four short double-helical elements and three loops (D, anti-codon, and T loops). Lineage: Bacteria; Pseudomonadati; Bacteroidota; Bacteroidia; Bacteroidales; Bacteroidaceae. The record is from RNAcentral.
GGAGUUUUGGCAGAUCAGGUAUAUGCGCAGGACUGAAAAUCCUGAGAACGUGGUUCGAUUCCACGAGACUCCA